Molecule: long non-coding RNA, 1924 nt
Organism: Oncorhynchus kisutch (coho salmon)
Lineage: Eukaryota; Metazoa; Chordata; Actinopteri; Salmoniformes; Salmonidae
Source: Ensembl
GCUUUGUGGGAACUAUGGUGUUGAACGCUGAGCUGUAGUCAAUGAACAGCAUUCCCACAUAGGUGUUCCUUUUGUCCAAGUGGGAAAGGGCAGUGUGGAGUGUGAUUGAGAUUGCGUCAUCUGUGGAUCUGUUGGGGCGGUAUGUGAAUUGUAGUGGGUCUAGGGUUUCCGGGAUGAUGAUGUUGAUGUGAGCCAUAUCCUGUUCAAAGGCACUUAAAUAUUUUGUCUUGCCCAUUCACCCUCAGAUUUGCACACAUACACAAUCCUUGUCUCAAUUGUCUUAAAAAAAACAUUUUUCCUCCCUUUCAUCUACACUGAUUGAAUUGUACUGUAUUUAACAAGUGACAUCAAUAAGGGAUCAAAGCAUUCACCUGGUCAGUCUAUGUCAUGGAAAGAGCAGGUGUUCUUAAUGUUUUGUUCACAGUGUAUAUGACUGAGACAUUAUUCUGAUUGUUCAGAUGCCAUGUCCUCCGCAACAUUUGCCCACACUUGCUGCAUGAGCCUGGUUUUUGCUCUCUGUGGUUUUCCUGUGCACAUGCUCCACAUCUACUUCUCCAUUCAAACACUCCCACUGUCUCUGUCACAUACACCCUACCUUGUGAAAUCAUACUUACAGUCUGAAACACUCUGUAUAAUUACAAUGUUCAUCCCUGAUAUGGCAGCUGGUUGUCUGUUUUUGGUCAUCGUCCUUCUAUAUACCUUUCAAUACAUCAAAGCCCAAGUUCAGAAACCAGUGAUUAGUACCAGUCAUAAUGAGGAGGAUUUCAUCAUCACCUGUUUGAUUCCUGGAAUUGCUGGUAACGACACCUGCUGUAACCUGUAUAUUGGAGAGAAGAAUAAGCCAUUCUUGAAAACACGGAUAUGGAAAAAGAAAACCCAAAAAACCAAGCAAUGGUACUGUACAUUCUCUGUGACCGAAGACGAUCUGAUCAGACAUCUACAGUCAGUGAGGAGUAAGGCGGUGAGCUGUGACUACAGAGUGAACUCAGGAACAAACUCUCUCUCUCCACGUAGUGAUGGAUACAGCUUUACAGAUCUGGUGGAAGUUCACAUCAGUGAUCCAACAACUAUUACAGCAGGAUUGACCUCUCCUUUGACCCCCAGCACAGCAGUGAAUCCUACGUCAGGUUGGACUGUUCUUUCUACUUUGACCACUGACACCGCAAAGAUUUCAACUGAAGGAGGUCAAAGCUACACAGAAAGUGAGGUUUUUUCAAACAGUCAAGAAAGCGUUCCAGCAUGUUCAACUGUUGCUUCUACUUUGACCCUUGACAUCACAGUGAGACCAACUACCAGUUUGACCUCUCCUUUGACCUCCAGCACAGCAGUGACUACUACAUCAGGUUCGACUGUUCGUUCAACUUUGACUACUGACACCACACUAAGUCCAACGGAAGGAAAAGGCUCCACAGAAAGUAUUCUGUCGGGGCAGGUUUGGCAGGCAGCAGUGGCUGUGGUUUCUGGAGUGGGUGUGUUCCUGGUGGGAUUGACUGCUUUCUGUCUCUGCAGGAGCACCAAGAAAAACAAUUCUCAGAGACCUACAGCCAGACAGGAUGAUGACAACCAAUAUGAUUUGGUGUUGGGAGCCAUGAGCAGUGCAGCCAUGAUGGAUUCUGGGGAAGCUGGGAUAUACAGUCUGAUCACCUCUGUACCAGCCACGUUUUUGCCCUCAGGUCCUGUGCAGGUAUCUGCACAUGAAGAUGUCGAUUCAGGGAAUACAGGGAUCUAUAGGCUGAUCACUGCACCACGCACAUCUAUACCUUCAGGUUGGUCCCAAUACCAAAUCAUUGGAUUCAUAAUACAGUGGGGCAAAAAAGUAUUUAGUCAGCCACCAUUUGUGCAAAUAAAUUCAUUAAAAAUCCUACAAUGUGAUUUUCUGUUUUUUUUUCUCAUUUUGUCUGUCAUAGUUGAAGUGUACCUAUGA